This is a long non-coding RNA of Herpailurus yagouaroundi (jaguarundi), 776 nucleotides long. RefSeq lists it as uncharacterized. The transcript is spliced from 3 exons. The record is from RefSeq and is a predicted model, not a curated record. NCBI's taxonomy places the organism in Eukaryota, Metazoa, Chordata, Mammalia, Carnivora, Felidae.
UUCAUUUAUUGUUAGUCAUUUUAGCCUUCUUUAACCUGGAACAGUUCCUCAACCUUUCUUUGUCUUUCAUGCCAUGGAACAGUUUUGAAGAAUACAGUCUUGCUAUUUCUCUUGUAUGUUUCUUUUUGUGUGUGUAUGCAUGUAUAUUUAUACCUAUUAACAGUAUGGAUGUAUGGAUUCCUCUUUUAUUCAAUGGGUUAUAACCUAUUACUAUACUUCUAUAUUGUGGAUCCUCAAACUGUGUCAGGUUUGGCCUCUUCACGAUGGUGCCUAUGUCCCUUUAAUGCCCUAAUACUUUUUUUAGUACUUACUUCCUGGCACAACAAAAUAUUCCAAACUACCUUGGUAUCUUCCUUGCUCCUCCCCAAGCUGGAAUCAGGAAGGAAGCUUCAAAGGGCCCUGGGACCUGGGAUCUUUCUGUGGAAUAUUUAGAAGCCAAGAUCUGGGAACUAGCAACUCAUCACCCAACGCUGGAUUCAGUGUAACUCCUAUCUGUGCUCAUACGCUUCACCUGAUACAUCUCAUCUAAUUGUCUGGGUCUACAACUAGCUUAAACUCCUUGAAGACACGAAGCGGUCAAAUUACAGUUGUAUUCAGUGCAUCCAGCCUAAUGUCCUAAUGCCCAACUGAUUUUGAAUGGAUGAAGCCUGGCUUCAUCGCAGAGACUCCGCCCACGAGCACCCAAAUGGCGGAAGAACUGCACGCUACGUCGUGACAUCUCACACAAAUGCGGAGGCAUCCUGACGCUACGCCACCGGCGUGGGCGGGGCGGCCGG